UACGGGGGGGGCAAGCGUUGUUCGGAAUUACUGGGCGUAAAGGGCUCGUAGGCGGCCAACUAAGUCGGACGUGAAAUCCCCGGGCUCAACCCGGGAACUGCGUCCGAUACUGGCAGGCUUGAAUCCGGGAGAGGGAUGCGGAAUUCCAGGUGUAGCGGUGAAAUGCGUAGAUAUCUGGAGGAACACCGGUGGCGAAGGCGGCAUCCUGGACCGGUAUUGACGCUGAGGCGCGAAAGCCAGGGGAGCAAACGGG
RNAcentral lists this ribosomal RNA (253 nucleotides) under uncultured bacterium. RNAcentral's name for it is "partial 16S ribosomal RNA". It matches the Rfam family "Bacterial small subunit ribosomal RNA", at positions 524 to 776 of the family's 1533-position model. The record is from RNAcentral.